Molecule: ribosomal RNA, 479 nt
Filed under: uncultured bacterium
Lineage: Bacteria
Description: bacterial SSU rRNA
Rfam family: Bacterial small subunit ribosomal RNA
Source: RNAcentral
CUUUCAGCAGGGACGAAGCGAAAGUGACUGUACCUGCAGAAGAAGCACCGGCUAACUACGUGCCAGCAGCCGCGGUAAUACGUAGGGUGCAAGCGUUGUCCGGAUUUAUUGGGCGUAAAGAGCUCGUAGGCGGUUUGUCGCGUCGGAUGUGAAAACCCAAUGGCUUAACCUUGGGCCUGCAUUCGAUACGGGCAAACUAGAGUGUGGUAGGGGAGACUGGAACUCCUGGUGUAGCGGUGGAAUGCGCAGAUAUCAGGAAGAACACCGAUGGCGAAGGCAGGUCUCUGGGCCAUAACUGACGCUGAGGAGCGAAAGCGUGGGGAGCGAACAGGAUUAGAUACCCUGGUAGUCCACGCCGUAAACGGUGGGCGCUAGGUGUGGGGAUUGUUUCCACGAUCUCCGUGCCGUAGCUAACGCAUUAAGCGCCCCGCCUGGGGAGUACGGCCGCAAGGCUAAAACUCAAAGGAAUUGACGGGGGC